Long non-coding RNA from Oncorhynchus tshawytscha (Chinook salmon), 352 nucleotides. The record is from Ensembl. NCBI's taxonomy places the organism in Eukaryota, Metazoa, Chordata, Actinopteri, Salmoniformes, Salmonidae.
CAGGUAUCCUAGUGGUUGGAGUGUAGGGGGGCAGGGAAGGCGAGUGGUUGAAGUGUAGGGGGGGGCAGGUAGCCGAGUUGUUGGAGUGUAGGGGGGGCAGGUAGCCUAGUGGUUGGAGUGUAGUGUGGGGCAGGUAUCCUAGUGGUUGGAGUGUAGGGGGGGGCAGGUAGCCUAGUGGUUGGAGUGUAGGGGGGCAGGUAGGCAAGUGGUUGGAGUGUAGGGGGAGGCAGGUAGCCUAGUGGUUGGAGUGUAGAGUGGGGCAGGUAGCCUAGUGGUUGGAGUGUAGUGGGGGGCAGGUAGCCUAGUGGUUGGAGUGUAGGGGGGGGCAGGUAGCCUAGUGGUUGGAGUGUAG